CCAGCACGUAAUGGUGGGCACUCUAAGGAGACUGCCGGUGACAAACCGGAGGAAGGUGGGGAUGACGUCAAGUCAUCAUGGCCCUUACGGCCUGGGCUACACACGUGCUACAAUGGUCGGUACAGAGGGUUGCCAAGCCGCGAGGUGGAGCUAAUCCCAGAAAACCGAUCGUAGUCCGGAUCGCAGUCUGCAACUCGACUGCGUGAAGUCGGAAUCGCUAGUAAUCGCGAAUCAGAAUGUCGCGGUGAAUACGUUCCCGGGCCUUGUACACACCGCCCGUCACACCAUGGGAGUGGGUUGCACCAGAAGUAGCUAGUCU
RNAcentral lists this ribosomal RNA (319 nucleotides) under Pseudomonas sp. RNAcentral describes it as "bacterial SSU rRNA". It matches the Rfam family "Bacterial small subunit ribosomal RNA", at positions 1118 to 1436 of the family's 1533-position model. Lineage: Bacteria; Pseudomonadati; Pseudomonadota; Gammaproteobacteria; Pseudomonadales; Pseudomonadaceae. The record is from RNAcentral.